This 449-nucleotide ribosomal RNA is filed under the name uncultured prokaryote. Its description in RNAcentral is "bacterial SSU rRNA". It matches the Rfam family "Bacterial small subunit ribosomal RNA", at positions 355 to 796 of the family's 1533-position model. The record is from RNAcentral.
UGGGGAAUAUUGGACAAUGGGCGCAAGCCUGAUCCAGCAAUGCCGCGUGGGUGAAGAAGGCCUUCGGGUUGUAAAGCCCUUUCAGCAGGGAAGAAAAGCAACUGGUUAAUACCUGGUUGUGCUGACGGUACCUGCAGAAGAAGCACCGGCUAACUCCGUGCCAGCAGCCGCGGUAAUACGGAGGGUGCAAGCGUUAAUCGGAAUUACUGGGCGUAAAGGGCGCGUAGGCGGCUUGGUAAGUCGGGUGUGAAAGCCCCGGGCUCAAGCUGGGAAUUCCAUUCGAUACUGCUUGGCGUGAGGGUAGUAGAGGGAAGGGGAAUUCCGGGUGGAGCGGUGAAAUGCGUAGAUAUCCGGAGGAACACCAGUGGCGAAGGCGGCUUCCUGGACUAACACUGACGCUGAGGCGCGAAAGCGUGGGGAGCAAACAGGAUUAGAUACCCCUGUAGUCC